Molecule: long non-coding RNA, 5243 nt
Organism: Solanum pennellii
Lineage: Eukaryota; Viridiplantae; Streptophyta; Magnoliopsida; Solanales; Solanaceae
Exons: 2
Source: RefSeq, a predicted model, not a curated record
CCAUUCCCUUAUCCCGUUCCCCCUCUUUGAUGUUGAAAGCAUUUUCUAAAAGAACCCAGACGCGACAACAAUUUGACCGACCCAUUCAUCGUCUUCCUCACGCGCACAUCAGAAUGACGAGUGGACGAAAUCACGAUCCAGCAGCAGUGGCGUGCUCGUCCUUCCCCCUCUCUCUCAAACGCGUGAACAGCCUGCUCCAAUGUCUCCUUUUCCCGUUGUUCGUACGAUAGGGUAGGGUGGCCUGCAACUCGUCCUUGCUUGCGUGGAUGGUGACACAUCGAGAACAAGGACGACGAGUUUAAUCCGAGUUGUCCAGCCUACUGAUUCGUCUGAAUUUUCAAGAAUAUGGACGAAUCUCGUGCAAAUUCAGAAGCGAUUUCAAAUUGUGGAAUUGAAGUGAACCCGAUUUUACCCCAAGAUUUUCCAAAAAUCCCUCCCCCCUCCCCAAUCCCGAAAAAAACUAAUCUCCCCCCUAUAUAUAUUCUCUUCGACUUUUCAAGGGGAGGGGAUUUUCUUUUUUUGAGCCGCGAGGUAAAAGGGUGUCGAAAAUUUUGUAAAAGGAAGCUUCAGAAAAUUCCUCUAAAUACCCAUUGCUUACAUAUCUAAAGAAGAAAAAAGAGAUACUGUAGUCUCAGUUUGGAUAAAAGUUUUGCUCCGUUCUUUGAUCAUCGCUCAUAGCUAAGCUUCAGUGGUGAGAAGUUUGCUUUUUGACUCGUUCUGUCCCGUCGCUGCACAACAAGAAGUAAUUUUCUUUCUCCUAUGCAUCAUUAUUUUGUUUCUCGAUUAGGCUAUCGUUUAUUUUGAGCUUAUGAAAAUGUAGCAUUCUGGGUCCAAUUAAUUUCUUCGAGGAGUAGGAUGAGUAUGUAGUUUUGGUUUGUGUUGUUAUGUGUCGUGUUGAAUGCAGCGCCAAAAUUUGAAGUUAUCUGAUUUGGAGACUCAAUAAUGUUGUAUAUAUUCAUCUGUUAGAUGCAACGUUUUGUUUACGUCUCUUAUUUUAUCUAUUUAUUUUAUUUUCUUUCCUCUAAGUUUUUGUGAUCUUGUGAUUAGCAUCUCGUUUUGUUUGAAUAAUUUCAUGCCUUCAUGUCGUUCAGCCGCACCUCACUUGCGGUUUAUAUUUGAUCAUGCGGGUAUAUUGCUCCAUCUUAAGCACCAGCUCCUUCAUUAUUUGACAUUGUUGGUCACUCGCUGUUUAUUUGAAAGGAGCAGAUUUAGGUUUGUUGAGAGUCUAAAAAGUAAAAGUAUGAUUUGUUUUCUUUGGACUGUUCAGCUGUAAUCUGUGUCGCCUCUUGCUGCUUUAAUAAGCUCUAAGGUGUUUAUUCAUGAUCUUCGUGUCUUAGCCAAUUAUCUUCUCGAAUUUUUUAUCUGAUAAGCCAACUUGUAAUGUAGAGUUACAGACUAUGUUAAUAGCUUACCUUCGCAUCCAAGAUCGAUGUUUUUUUAAGUCGUUGAGACGGGGUUAUUGCGAUGUUUUCUUGCCUAUCUUAGACUUUGCAGAGUUCACAGCCCUGACUCUUAGAUUUUGUAUUGUGCAAAUUGAGUCCCUCUAUGAUGCUUUAAUAAAUAGCCUUAUGAUAUUACUUUGUUUCCCUCUCAUGUUACAAGAAAAUUUUUAGAGCUCAUCAUUUAUGUUUAAAUUUGCCCCACGUGUUUAUGAUUUUAGAAAGAAAUUAUGCCGAAACCCACAUUGUAUUAUUGGCUUGCAUUUAUUGUUCUUAUCUGCUGAACUUUCUCGCUUUUAUUUAUUUUGCUCUGUUAAUGUAGCAGUUUUUAUAUCGCUUUGGUUGCCCCUUUAUGAGGGGGGUAUUAAUUUUCAAGACUUCUAUGAUGUGAUUUAAAUGAUCACUCGACAUACUGAUCUUUUCUAAGGUGCGAAUAUCCGAGGUUUUGCUUAUCUUCUUCGUUAUCUAAAUUUUCGGUUGUCUUUCUCUGUAAAAUGCUAAAUAUAGGCAUGGUAUAGUGAUCCCUCUAACUGCCUGUGAUUUAAUUGGUUAGUUCAUGCUUACUCACUUUUCUUAUAAUAUCUAAAAGUUUGUUCGGGCUUAAUCGUUUUCUUAAUGUGUGGAAAUUGGUUCAUUCUUAGGUUGUUUUCCCGUAACAUGCAGUGAGAAAUACCAUAAGGUGGGGUUGUUAAACUUUAUUGGUCUCUAUCUUGUUAAGUGUGGAUCACCUAAUGCCGCUACUUUCAAGUGCAUAGGCUGGCAUCGAUUUUUCUUCACUUUUUAGCGUGAUAUUUGUUAUUUAUUUUAGCAUGUUUCUUUCUUUUCUUACCUGUUAACAAAUGUGCUUAUAUCUUUUGGUGAGGAUGCUGAUUUAUUUUGUUUCGUUAUCAGUAAUGUUAUUUGUUUCAAAUCGAAGUAAUUCUUACAAUGUCUAUGUUUUUUUGUGCAUGCAAAACCUAUUCGACUUCAUCAUGAACUCUUCUUCCCUUGCAUUUUCGAGGAGCCACGAAGGUUCAAUUCCCUCCUAUCGAGUCAAACCCAUUAAAAUCGACGUACAGGUCCCGAGUUGAAAGGAUUCAAAAAUCAAGAAGUCGAAGAUAUGAAGAAGUUGGGCCAAAGGAGGCCCACUUCAUCUAUUCUUUCAUAUUUUUAUUUUGUUGUUUUUUGGUCCUAAGCCCUUGUCUUCUUUUAUUUCUUAUAUUAUUUAUUUAUUAUUAUAUGUUUAGCUUAGGACAGGUAGAAAUGGGUCAAAAACCGAAAAACAGGUGAGUCCAAAAUUCCAGUCAAGGCGGACAAAAAACCCAGAUUUGGACCCAACUCUCUUUUUCUCUCUCUCCCUCUUUCCCUCUUUUACUUUAUUUGCUUAUCUGUUUUUAUUUGUCGUUAGUUUAAAAUUAGAAAACUCUAAAUCCCCGUAGAAUGCCAUAAUAUUUUAGUAAUUUAAAAUUGGACUGAGUUUAAAUAGUUUUAAAAUAAUUUUUCAAUUUAUAAGUAAGAACCAAGAGAUUCACUUUCAAGCAAUUCCAAUAAAUUUUAUAAGUGAAGUUUUAGCCAAAUUAAAUUAGUUGUCGGAUAACCGCAAGUAAGCGGAUGUCUUAGGUGCUUUCAAAACCCUCCUAAGACGUUAAUAUGAAUCCUCGAACCCCUUUAAAGUUUUCAAAUGAUUUUCUUUGUUUAAGUCUUUUGGAAACAAGGUUUUUCUUGGUUUUUCUAAAAAAUUAAGUGGCGACUCCUAGAAGUAAAAAAUUUACAAAAAUAAUAUUUUUCAAUAAAACAUUAGCUUUAUCAGUUGAUUUUUGGGAGUGUAGCUCAUAUUUUGGCCUCCCUAUAUAAUUUUCUUUUUCACUGUUAGGGGUUGGAAAAAGUUGACUGUAUUUUUGCCUCCCUAUAUAGCCUCCCUAUUAUUGAGUUUUUCAAAUUCUGAUUGCUGAAUGAUUGCCAAACUUGCCUGAAUUGCAUUUUGACUGUGCUUUUGCGCUAGAUUAAUUGAUAUGUUAGUCAGAUGGACCUCCUUGUCUAUAGAAUAGGUCCAUUUAACUGCGCCGCCAUCAAUUUCCAUAAAAGCAUUUACUAUCAAUUUCCAUCAACUUCUGCUAACCUGUUGUAUGUUUUAUCUAAUGAAUAUUUUUCUAAUAAAUCUAUGAGUAGAAAAAAAAACAUGCAUUAUAUUUAAUUAUUCUGUUGAGAUUAAGAAUGUAGAAUUACUUCAAAAAUUCGAUAAAAAACAGGACAAGUAUCAAUACAAUGAUAUUGUUUUAGACAAAUUUCUCGAUGAAGAGCAGAAGAACUUCUCGUUGACGAGCACGAUUUCUGUUGUAGCUUGUUUUACUACUGCUUAUUAGGUAAGGACACAAUAUUUUUCUAUCAUUUAUCCUUACUAACAUGUUCUUAUAGUUAUACAAUUGUUCGGAUAUGUUCAAGAUCACAAGUUUUAAGAAUACUUAUGGUGUACUAAUUACCUACAGAUAAAAUAAAAUAUAUUUAUUUAAUUAACUUCUGGUGUAUUAAUUAUUUUUUCCUUAGAAGUAUCAUCAACAUUUAUAAACAUUUGUUGAGGAUUCAAGAUCUGAUUUGACAUAGAAAAAGUGUCAUGACUAGGUAAGAAACUUUUAUCAUCUCAUAACACAUGAUUCUAACAACUUACUCCGUUACUCGUGAUUUUUAAAACUUAUUUGUGAAGUAGUUUAUGAUUGUUACUCAAAGAUAAAAUAUGAUAUCUUCUUUUAGGAAUUCAUAUAUCUCGUCCAAGGAUUGGAUGAAUUUAGCAAGGUAUAGUAAAGAGUAUAUCGAUGGCAUUGAAUCAUUUCUAGAUUUCGCUUACUCUUAUGGAGAUCCUAAGGAGAGGAAAUUUAGUGUCCAUGUGCAAAAUGUUGUAAUAUUCGUUGGACUCGAAGGAAUGAAGUGUAUGAUCAUCUUAUAUGCUAUGGAUUCGUUAAAAGCUAUACACAAUGGAUCAAUCACGGGGAAUGGGAUAUCAAGUUGAAUGUUGACGAUGAUAUGGAUUACUCGGGUGAUGAUAUUGAUGGGGUUGUUGAAUGAUCAAUUUAGAGAUGUUGCAUAGGCUGAAGGAGUUUAUGAUGGUCCAAAUGAAGAUGCCAAGAAAUUCUAAAACUUAGUUGAAGAGGCAAGCCAAGAAUUAUAUCCUGGUUGUACAGGAUUCUCUAAAUUAUCAUUAAGACUUCGUUUAUAUUUGUUGAAGUGUCUACAUGGAUGGAGCAAUUCAGAAUGAGAUAGUACUUACAAUUCAUCAUGGAUGCCAAUUUUAUUCAAAAGGAUGAACUUUAGAAUCGCCAAAAUUCUGGGGAAAUAGCUAAUGAGGCAUUUAGGACAGUGUUUAGAAAGGAGCAGCCUGGUCGACUAAGGUGCUAUGGUAGAUCAUUUACAACAAGUUCUUUGAAUAAAGAUGAGAAAAUUAACAAUCUAAAACAAAAGAAUGCCAAUGAAAUCACUUCUCUAAAGGAAGAAUUGAGGGAAGAAAUGCAACAUUUAUUCACUCAAUUGUUGCAAAACAACCCCGGAUUGAAUUUUCAUGACAUACCAACGUGUGUUGGAUCUAACCCUGUUUCACCUAUUGAUUCAAGUAGCGCACAAGCUGUAAGAGGCACAAAUAUUCCAGAUUCUUCGGGGUCAGCUCAUGAUUCAGUUCUUCAAAAGGAAAAUAUCGGUAAUUGAAUUUGAAUUUUGGCCAAAAGUAAACUCGAUCUAUUCUAGUGAAUGAUGAAGAGUUUUUGUACUAUUGUUAUAUACGUUUGAAUGACACAUUUGUUUUUUGGGAAUUUAUUGACAUUAAAGAUCUUUAAGCAA